This 322-nucleotide ribosomal RNA is filed under the name uncultured eukaryote. RNAcentral describes it as "partial 18S ribosomal RNA". It matches the Rfam family "Eukaryotic small subunit ribosomal RNA", at positions 1470 to 1796 of the family's 1831-position model. The record is from RNAcentral.
CCCUUAGAUGUUCUGGGCCGCACGCGUGCUACACUGAGUGGAUCAGCGGGUCAGGUUGCGCGAAAGUGUUUCCUAAUCUUUAAAUCCGCUCGUGAUGGGGAUUGACGGUUGCAAUUUUCCGUCAUGAACGAGGAAUACCUUGUAAGCGCGGGUCAUCAUCCCGCGCUGAAUACGUCCCUGCCCUUUGUACACACCGCCCGUCGCUCCUACCGAUUGAUUGGUCCGGUGAGGCUUUGGGAUCUGAGCGGAAAGAGCGUUUCGCUGUUUCUGCCCGGAAAACUCAGUCGAACCUUAUCAUUUAGAGGAAGGAGAAGUCGUAACA